AGUCAGUUUCUAUCAUUUCCCAUCCCAUAUAGAAAGGGAAAGAGAAAAAGAAAGAGAAAGAAAAAGAGAGAAAGAUAAAAACUUGUAGAGAAAAAAGAGGAAAUGAGAGGAGGAAAUGGUGUAUUGUCACCGGCCAAACAAGCGGAGUUACUCAAGAAAGACGGCAACUCAUACUUCAAGAAAGAUCGUAUUGGAGCCGCCAUUGAUGCUUAUACAGAGGCAAUUACGCUAUGCCCAAAUGUUCCUGUGUAUUUGACGAAUCGUGCUUUGUGUCAUCGCAAGCGGAAAGAUUGGCUAAAAGUCGAGGAAGAUUGCCGGAAAGCUAUUCUGCUUGACAACUCUUGUGUUAAGGCUCACUAUUUGUUGGGACUUGCAUUGCUACAGAGGCAAGAAUAUGUUAAAGGAGUCAAAGAACUUCAGAAGGCUUUGGAUCUGGGAAGGGGUGCUAACCCAAAGAGCUACAUGGUGGAGGAAAUCUGGCAGGAACUCGCAAAAGCAAAAUACUUGGAGUGGGAGAAUGAAUCGACCAGUCGUUCAUGGGAACUGCAAAGCUUGAAAGAAGCUUGUGAGACUGCUCUUAAAGAAAAACAUAUACGUGACAUUUCUCAAAUGGAAGGGUUCCUGGAUGAAUCUGAAAAAUCUCUUACUUCCCACUUGGAACAUUUAGAGACUCUAAGAAGAGUGUUUAGAGAAGCUGCAGAGGCUGACUGUCCGACAGAGGUGCCAGACUACCUCUGUUGUAAAAUCACGCUUGAUAUUUUCCGUGAUCCUGUCAUCACUCCAAGUGGGGUAACAUAUGAGAGAGCAAUGAUUCUUGACCAUCUUGAGAAGGUGGGUAAGUUUGAUCCAGUCACUCGUGAACCACUUGACCAGUCCCAGCUGAUACCAAACUUGGCUAUAAAGGAAGCAGUGCAAGCAUUUCUAGAAGAACAUGGUUGGGCCUACAAGACAGACUGAAAGUUUGUGCUCAUCAUGUAGACUAUAAUGGGGUCUCACUGCAGUAUUCUUUUUUUGCCUUCACCACCUCCAUUUGUCGAUCACGGUGAUUCGCUCGCUUAUCAUCCAUUGGUGACAACCAGACUUUGGCCAUCAAUUGUGAGCUGUCGCUGGCUGCCACCCGCAUGCUUUCAUCAUAAUCAUCUUCGACCAACUACCAUUGUUGCCACCACUACUCUUCUCCCCUGAACUAUUAUUAUUGUUGAGAAUAUUUAAUACAACCAAAUGUUAAGAAAAUAAUUUUAAGAGUUCGGAAAAUAAUUCAUUUUCCAAUUAAAAAUAUUUUUUUUGUUGAAAUAAAUGGGGUUUAAGUUAA
Quercus robur (English oak) is the source of this 1312-nucleotide RNA transcript. It is a transcript of the gene named E3 ubiquitin-protein ligase CHIP, with no coding region annotated. The record is from RefSeq and is a predicted model, not a curated record. NCBI's taxonomy places the organism in Eukaryota, Viridiplantae, Streptophyta, Magnoliopsida, Fagales, Fagaceae. The transcript is spliced from 9 exons.